Molecule: ribosomal RNA, 536 nt
Filed under: uncultured bacterium
Lineage: Bacteria
Description: bacterial SSU rRNA
Rfam family: Bacterial small subunit ribosomal RNA
Source: RNAcentral
AAUGAACGUUGGCGGCGUGGAUUAGGCAUGCAAGUCGAGCGAGAAGGAACCACUCACUUGAGGCUGUUGGCUAAGAGUUAAUAGCUGACAGCUUCGAAGUGAGUGGUUCCGGAAAGCGGCGAAAGGGAGAGUAACGCGUAGUUACGUACCCCGGGGUUCGGAAUAGCCAGCCGAAAGGCUGGGUAAUGCCGAAUAAUGUCCCCGGACCAAAGGUGUGAUUCCACCUCGGGAGCGGACUGCGUUGUACUAGCUUGUUGGUGGGGUAAUGGCCUACCAAGGCGACGAUGCAUACCGGGCGUGAGAGCGUGGCCCGGCUCACUGGGACUGAGACACUGCCCAGACACCUACGGGUGGCUGCAGUCGAGAAUCUUCGGCAAUGGGCGCAAGCCUGACCGAGCGACGCCGUGUGCGGGAUGAAGGCCUUCGGGUUGUAAACCGCUGUCAGUAGGGAGGAAAUCUGUGAGAGUUCUCUCUCAUGGUUGACCUAUCUUCAGAGGAAGUCAGGGCUAAGUUCGUGCCAGCCGCCGCAGUAACAC